GGGGUGUUAGUNNNCCAAUUACAUGGCCCUGUCAAAGCCAAACCAUAGGUGAAACCCCUAUACACCCCU
RNAcentral lists this transfer RNA (69 nucleotides) under Amazona ventralis. RNAcentral's name for it is "tRNA-Asp". The record is from RNAcentral. Lineage: Eukaryota; Metazoa; Chordata; Aves; Psittaciformes; Psittacidae.